RNAcentral lists this transfer RNA (54 nucleotides) under Phyllocoptes taishanensis. RNAcentral's name for it is "tRNA-Glu". Lineage: Eukaryota; Metazoa; Arthropoda; Arachnida; Trombidiformes; Eriophyidae. The record is from RNAcentral.
AACUUAUUGGUGUAUUACAACAUUUAGAAUUUUCAUUUCUAAGAACUUAAGUUA